RNAcentral lists this ribosomal RNA (440 nucleotides) under uncultured bacterium. Its description in RNAcentral is "partial 16S ribosomal RNA". It matches the Rfam family "Bacterial small subunit ribosomal RNA", at positions 338 to 795 of the family's 1533-position model. The record is from RNAcentral.
CCUACGGGAGGCAGCAGUGGGGAAUAUUGCACAAUGGGGGAAACCCUGAUGCAGCAACGCCGCGUGAGUGAAGAAGUAUUUCGGUAUGUAAAGCUCUAUCAGCAGGGAAGAAAAUGACAGUACCUGACUAAGAAGCCCCGGCUAACUACGUGCCAGCAGCCGCGGUAAUACGUAGGGGGCAAGCGUUAUCCGGAUUUACUGGGUGUAAAGGGAGCGUAGACGGCUGCGCAAGUCAGAAGUGAAAGCCCGGGGCUCAACCGCGGGACUGCUUUUGAAACUGUGUAGCUAGAGUGCAGGAGAGGUAAGUGGAAUUCCUAGUGUAGCGGUGAAAUGCGUAGAUAUUAGGAGGAACACCGGUGGCGAAGGCGGCUUACUGGACUGUAACUGACGUUGAGGCUCGAAAGCGUGGGGAGCAAACAGGAUUAGAUACCCUUGUAGUC